Long non-coding RNA from Vigna unguiculata (cowpea), 944 nucleotides. RefSeq lists it as uncharacterized. The record is from RefSeq and is a predicted model, not a curated record. Lineage: Eukaryota; Viridiplantae; Streptophyta; Magnoliopsida; Fabales; Fabaceae.
CUUUCGAACGCACGGUUCUGCCUAGACCCUCUUAGGUAGCCCCAGCAACUGGUGAACCACCACAAAACUCCUCUGGUAAAUAUAGAAAUCUUUCACUAACUAAGAGAAGCCAUGUUUCACGCACAGGUCAAUCUGGCAACCGGAGAUGGAAGUUGAAGCACUUUCCUGACCAGUUUCUGGUUUUGUUGAUCCGUUUGCUAUCACCUUCAUCUGUUGAGCCACACUGGAAAAGUGUUCAUGGUGACUCAGCUGAUUAUCCACAAACUGGUCAAGAACUCGCCAAUCCAUAACAUGGUCCAUAGAUUGAUCAUUACUAGCAUAAUGAAACUGUCGAUGUUCUUGGGUGAGUGACGAACACUGCAAUGCAUUUCCAUUGUUCUUGCCACCAUAAGAGACAACUGGGAUAAAACUCAAACCAGUCACAGAUUGAGGAACCACGGGACUGUGAAGUUGUGGAAGUUGGAGGAAAGCGUCGUGAGGAAUAUUGAAUUGCAAUUCCAACUCCUUCUUGCAUGGGUAAGGGUGACGAUUUGGUGCAUUAGGGUUAGACAUUGGCAUUGGAGAUUCCAGUUCUUGCAUGAACGAGACUUGGUCAUCAUACCAACAUGGCGACACGUAAUCCCCCAUUUUCCUCGCAGUUGUCGUCCGCUUUUUGAACACUCUACACACAACCCACCCUUCUUCCUGGAAACCAUUUACAGAAAUUAAGAACACUAAACAAUCUGGUUAUUUCAUUUCAUUGUCUUUUUCAAUCAGAGAUGAAGAGAGGAAUUGUUACAGAAAUUAAAAGAAGGAAAAUGAAUUAAUUACCUGAGGAGUUCCAUUUUCAUUGGUUUGUAGCCGAUACUCAUGCAUGAUCCAGUCAGAUUUUUGUCCAUUGGGUGCUCUUCCUCUGUAAAACACAAGAGUCUUUCUCAUUCCAGUAAGAAAAUGUUUACAGUAAA